Molecule: ribosomal RNA, 399 nt
Filed under: uncultured bacterium
Lineage: Bacteria
Description: bacterial SSU rRNA
Rfam family: Bacterial small subunit ribosomal RNA
Source: RNAcentral
AUUGAACGCUGGCGGCAUGCUUUACACAUGCAAGUCGAACGGCAGCGGGGGCUUCGGCCUGCCGGCGAGUGGCGAACGGGUGAGUAAUGCAUCGGAACGUGCCCAGUCAUGGGGGAUAACUACGCGAAAGCGUAGCUAAUACCGCAUACGCCCUGAGGGGGAAAGCGGGGGGAUCGCAAGACCUCGCGUGAUUGGAGCGGCCGAUGUCGGAUUAGCUAGUUGGUGGGGUAAAGGCCUACCAAGGCGACGAUCCGUAGCGGGUCUGAGAGGAUGAUCCGCCACACUGGGACUGAGACACGGGCCCCAGACUCCUACGGGAGGCAGCAGUGGGGAAUUUUGGGACAAUGGGGGCAACCCUGAUCCAGCCAUGCCGCGUGACGUGAAGAAGGCCUUCGGGUU